This 247-nucleotide ribosomal RNA is filed under the name uncultured bacterium. RNAcentral describes it as "partial 16S ribosomal RNA". It matches the Rfam family "Bacterial small subunit ribosomal RNA", at positions 523 to 769 of the family's 1533-position model. The record is from RNAcentral.
AUACGUAGGUGGCAAGCGUUGUCCGGAUUUAUUGGGUUUAAAGGGUGCGUAGGUGGUUUUUUAAGUGAGUGGUGAAAUCGUGCGGCUUAACCGUAUACUCGCCAUUCAUACUGGAAGACUUGAGUGUGCGUGAGGGAGUUGGAAUGCGUGGUGUAGCGGUGAAAUGCUUAGAUAUCACGCAGAACGCCGAUUGCGAAGGCAGAUUCCUGGUGCAUGACCGACACUGAGGCACGAAAGCGUGGGUAGC